This 89-nucleotide transfer RNA is filed under the name Ipomoea nil (Japanese morning glory). It matches the Rfam family "tRNA". Rfam says of the family: Transfer RNA (tRNA) molecules are approximately 80 nucleotides in length. Lineage: Eukaryota; Viridiplantae; Streptophyta; Magnoliopsida; Solanales; Convolvulaceae. The record is from Rfam by way of RNAcentral.
CCGACCUUAGCUCAGUUGGUAGAGCGGUGGACUGUAGUGGGUUAUCCGCAUCCAUCCAUAGGUCGCUGGUUCAAAUCUGGCAGAUUGGA